This 389-nucleotide ribosomal RNA is filed under the name Bradyrhizobium sp. R-46017. RNAcentral describes it as "bacterial SSU rRNA". It matches the Rfam family "Bacterial small subunit ribosomal RNA", at positions 20 to 435 of the family's 1533-position model. The record is from RNAcentral. Lineage: Bacteria; Pseudomonadati; Pseudomonadota; Alphaproteobacteria; Hyphomicrobiales; Nitrobacteraceae.
UGGCUCAGAGCGAACGCUGGCGGCAGGCUUAACACAUGCAAGUCGAGCGGGCGUAGCAAUACGUCAGCGGCAGACGGGUGAGUAACGCGUGGGAACGUACCUUUUGGUUCGGAACAACACAGGGAAACUUGUGCUAAUACCGGAUAAGCCCUUACGGGGAAAGAUUUAUCGCCGAAAGAUCGGCCCGCGUCUGAUUAGCUAGUUGGUGAGGUAAUGGCUCACCAAGGCGACGAUCAGUAGCUGGUCUGAGAGGAUGAUCAGCCACAUUGGGACUGAGACACGGCCCAAACUCCUACGGGAGGCAGCAGUGGGGAAUAUUGGACAAUGGGGGCAACCCUGAUCCAGCCAUGCCGCGUGAGUGAUGAAGGCCCUAGGGUUGUAAAGCUCUU